This 253-nucleotide ribosomal RNA is filed under the name uncultured bacterium. RNAcentral's name for it is "partial 16S ribosomal RNA". It matches the Rfam family "Bacterial small subunit ribosomal RNA", at positions 524 to 776 of the family's 1533-position model. The record is from RNAcentral.
UACGGAGGGUGCGAGCGUUGUUCGGAAUCACUGGGCGGAAAGGGCGUGUAGGCGGUCCGCUAAGUCUGAUGCGAAAGCCCGGGGCUCACCCCCGGAAGGGCAUUGGAAACUGGCGGACUCGAGUCCCGGAGAGGAAGGUGGAAUUCCUGGUGUAGCGGUGAAAUGCGUAGAUAUCAGGAGGAAUACCGGUGGCGAAGGCGGCCUUCUGGACGGUGACUGACGCUGAGACGCGAAAGCGUGGGGAGCAAACAGG